UACGGAGGGUGCAAGCGUUGCUCGGAAUCACUGGGCGUAAAGCGACCGCAGGCGGCCUGACAAGUCGGAUGUGAAAGCCCUGGGCUCAACUCAGGAAUUGCAUUCGAAACUGGCAGGCUCGAGUACGGGAGAGGGGGGUGGAAUUCCACGUGUAGCAGUGAAAUGCGUAGAGAUGUGGAGGAACACCGAUGGCGAAGGCAGCCCCCUGGGCUAACACUGACGCUCAGGCACGAAAGCGUGGGGAGCAAACAGG
This 253-nucleotide ribosomal RNA is filed under the name uncultured bacterium. RNAcentral's name for it is "partial 16S ribosomal RNA". It matches the Rfam family "Bacterial small subunit ribosomal RNA", at positions 524 to 776 of the family's 1533-position model. The record is from RNAcentral.